This 253-nucleotide ribosomal RNA is filed under the name uncultured bacterium. Its description in RNAcentral is "partial 16S ribosomal RNA". It matches the Rfam family "Bacterial small subunit ribosomal RNA", at positions 524 to 776 of the family's 1533-position model. The record is from RNAcentral.
UACGUAGGUGGCAAGCGUUAUCCGGAUUUACUGGGUGUAAAGGGAGCGUAGACGGCCAGACAAGUCAGAAGUGAAAGCCCAGGGCUCAACCCUGGGACUGCUUUUGAAACUGCCGGGCUGGAGUGCAGGAGAGGUAAGCGGAAUUCCUAGUGUAGCGGUGAAAUGCGUAGAUAUUAGGAGGAACACCAGUGGCGAAGGCGGCUUACUGGACUGUAACUGACGUUGAGGCUCGAAAGUGUGGGGAGCAAACAGG